AGGUUUGUAAAUGGGGGUCGGCUUAUCUAUGGGUUACACUUUCGACAAACUUUUUUCAAGGGGUUAAAAAAACGACAUUGUAUCGCUUUGCAGAAACUGAGAUUUUAUUC
Molecule: long non-coding RNA, 110 nt
Organism: Haliotis rubra (blacklip abalone)
Lineage: Eukaryota; Metazoa; Mollusca; Gastropoda; Lepetellida; Haliotidae
Exons: 3
Source: RefSeq, a predicted model, not a curated record